GACGAACGCUGGCGGCGUGCUUAACACAUGCAAGUCGAACGGUGAACCUCUUCGGAGGGGAUCAGUGGCGAACGGGUGAGUAACACGUGGGCAACCUGCCCCCGGCUCUGGGAUAACUCCAAGAAAUUGGGGCUAAUACCGGAUGUUCACCGCUUCCCGCAUGGGUGGUGGUGGAAAGGGUUUCCGGCUGGGGAUGGGCCCGCGGCCUAUCAGCUUGUUGGUGGGGUAGUGGCCUACCAAGGCGACGAAGGGUAGCCGGCCUGGGAGGGUGAACAGCCACAAGGGGACUGAGACACGGAGCAGACUCCAACGGGAGGCAGCAGUGGGGAACAUGGCGCAAUGGGAGCAAGCCUGAGGAAGAGACGCCGCGUGGGGGAUGACGGCCUUUGGGUUGAAAACAGCUUUCAGCAGGGACGAAGCGCAAGUGACGGUACCUGAAGAAGAAGCACCGGCCAACUACGUG
This 463-nucleotide ribosomal RNA is filed under the name uncultured bacterium. RNAcentral describes it as "partial 16S ribosomal RNA". It matches the Rfam family "Bacterial small subunit ribosomal RNA", at positions 28 to 507 of the family's 1533-position model. The record is from RNAcentral.